UUGGAGGGCAAGUCUGGUGCCAGCAGCCGCGGUAAUUCCAGCUCCAAUAGCGUAUAUUAAAGUUGUUGCAGUUAAAAAGCUCGUAGUUGAACUUCGGGGUCUACCCAUUGGUCAGGCUUAAUUGUCUGUACUGGUGAGAUGGAUCUCUACCUUCUGAGGAACUUUCAUGCCAUUUAUUUGGUGUGAUGGGAAAUCAGGACUGUUACUUUGAAAAAAUUAGAGUGUUUAAAGCAGACUAUCGUCUGAAUACAUUAGCAUGGAAUAAUGAAAUAGGACGGACUGAUUCUAUUUCGUUGGUUUCUAGGAUCACCGUAAUGAUUAAUAGGGAUAGUUGGGGGCAUUAGUAUUCAAUUGUCAGAGGUGAAAUUCUUGGAUUUAUUGAAGACUAACUACUGCGAAAGCAUUUGCCAAGGAUGUUUUCAUUAAUCAAGAACGAAAGUUAGGGGAUCGAAGACGAUCAGAUACCGUCGUAGUCUUAACCAUAAACUAUGCCGACUAGGGAUCGGACGAAGUUAAUUUUAUAAUGACGCGUUCGGCACCUUACGGGAAACCAAAGUGUUUGGGUUC
Molecule: ribosomal RNA, 567 nt
Filed under: uncultured Glomeromycotina
Lineage: Eukaryota; Fungi; Glomeromycota
Description: SSU rRNA
Rfam family: Eukaryotic small subunit ribosomal RNA
Source: RNAcentral